AGGUGUGGAUAGGGGAGAAAUUCCAAUCGAACCCGGAGAUAGCUGGUUCUCCUCGAAAUAGCUUUAGGGCUAGCCUCAUACGAGUCUUGCGGAGGUAGAGCACUGAAUUCCUAAGGGGGCGUCAAAGCUUACCAAGGGAUAUCAAACUCCGAAUGCCGCAUAAAUGAUGUACGGGAGUCAGACUGCACGAGAUAAGUUGGGCAGUCAAAAGGGAAAGAGCCCAGACCUACAGCUAAGGUCCCAAAGUGUGUGUUAAGUGGAAAAGGAUGUGGGAUUUCAAAGACAACUAGGAUGUUGGCUCAGAAGCAGCCACACAUUCAAAGAGUGCGUAAUAGCUCACUAGUCGAGAGGUCCUGCGCCGAAAAUGUCCGGGGCUGAAACACAACACCGAAGCUUAGGAAUGUAUGUAAGUACAUUGGUAGAGGAGCAUUCUUAGUGCGGAGAAGCGGUACCGAUAAGGAGCCGUGGAGCGUUAAGAAGAGAGAAUGCCGGAAUGAGUAGCGAGAUGGAGGUGGGAAUCCUCCAGGCCGAAUAUCCAAGGUUUCCAGAGUAAAGCUGAUCUGCUCUGGGUAAGUCGGGGCCUAAGGCGAGGCUGAGAGGCGUAGUCGAUGGACAACAGGUUGAAAUUCCUGUACCAUGUAUCAUCAGAACUGUGGGGACACAGAAGGACAACACAUCCCGGGAAUGGGAAUACCGGGGCAAGCGGGGUAGGAGUACGGCUGGCAAAUCCGCCGUACAAUCCGAAUACGUGACGCGGAGCGAACUGAAGUAGUGAAGUGUGCGAUUCCAGCUGUCAAGAAAAGCCGCUAUUGUGUGAUACGUGCCCGUACCGUAAACCGACACAGGUAGAUGAGGAGAGAAUCCUAAGGCCGGCGGGAGAAGCAUUGUUAAGGAACUCGGCAAAAUGACCCCGUAACUUCGGGAGAAGGGGUGCCACAGAGAUGUGGCCGCAGAGAAUAGGCUCAAGCAACUGUUUAGCAAAAACACAGGUCUAUGCAAAACCGUAAGGUGAGGUAUAUGGGCUGACGCCUGCCCGGUGCUGGAAGGUUAAGAGGAGAGGUUAGAGCAAUCGAAGCUUUGAAUUGAAGCCCCAGUAAACGGCGGCCGUAACUAUAACGGUCCUAAGGUAGCGAAAUUCCUUGUCGGGUAAGUUC
Molecule: ribosomal RNA, 1154 nt
Filed under: human gut metagenome
Description: bacterial LSU rRNA
Rfam family: Bacterial large subunit ribosomal RNA
Source: RNAcentral